GACGAACGCUGGCGGCGUGCUUAACACAUGCAAGUCGAACGGUAAGGCCCUUCGGGGUACACGAGUGGCGAACGGGUGAAUAACACGUGGGUGAUCUGCCCUGCACUUCGGGAUAAGCCUGGGAAACUGGGUCUAAUACCGGAUAGGACCACUGCCUGCAUGGGUGGUGGUGGAAAGCUUUUGCGGUGUGGGAUGGGCCCGCGGCCUAUCAGCUUGGUGGUGGGGUGAUGGCCUACCAAGGCGACGACGGGUAGCCGGCCUGAGAGGGUGACCGGCCACACUGGGACUGAGAUACGGCCCAGACUCCUACGGGAGGCAGCAGUGGGGAAUAUUGCACAAUGGGCGCAAGCCUGAUGCAGCGACGCCGCGUGAGGGAUGACGGCCUUCGGGUUGUAAACCUCUUUCAGCACUGACGAAGCGCAAGUGACGGUAGGUGCAGAAGAAGGACCGGCCAACUACGUGCCAGCCGCCGCAGUAA
RNAcentral lists this ribosomal RNA (478 nucleotides) under uncultured bacterium. Its description in RNAcentral is "partial 16S ribosomal RNA". It matches the Rfam family "Bacterial small subunit ribosomal RNA", at positions 28 to 523 of the family's 1533-position model. The record is from RNAcentral.